GCCUACCCCAUUCAGCCCACCUCACCUCGCCUCAUCACAUGGGCAUUUUAUCAUUUCACAGCAUCACAGGAAGGUGUAGUGAUGCCAGGCCAAGAACUAUGGCUCAAAUACCACCUCAUUUCAGCCUGUUUUCGGCAAAACAGCCUCAGGACUUCUCAUUGAAUGAACAAGUUGCCUUGCUACUCAGCCCUGCUGCUUUGCUGAUGCUGACAAAGGAACACCCUACCCUUCAAUCCUUGCCACCUUCAUCCACUCAUUCCAAGAAUCUUGCUGGUAAUGUCAAGUCUGCUCAAGCUAGAGGUACUGAAGAAAUACUCAGUGAUUCAUAAUUGUUGAAAAAACCACAUUGGACUGUGAGAUCAAAAAACAGAUGUCUCUGAAGAAAGAGGGUAAUUUGAAAGAAAUGGAACAAUUCAUAAUGUGGAUGUGGAAGUGGAGGGGAACAGCACAAAGACAUGGAAGGAAUAGCAAAAUGAAAUGUUUAACAAGUAAUGGAAAGCAGGAAUAUUACAAUAGUAGACUGCUUUGGGCAGUCGACUGGAUGGGUCCUUCCUGGCCUGCGACCUUGUCAUUGGUUCAGCAAUGUCUGCUUGUGUCUACUACUGGGCAGAAAAUUAUCUGAAGGUAAAUGUCGUGACUCCCUUGUUCAAGGUCAUAGCAGGAAUUCUGUCACUUUGUUUGGACUCCUGGCCAGGCAUGCAUCUCCACCUGCCCCCUCAACUGCCUUACCACCGGCUGCGUGGCCAUGCCACCCACAGGCAGAGAUGUCACAGCUAAGCACCGAUGAGGAGGAUUCUUUGGACUGGAAUAUACUGGCCCCAUAAGGUGUUCUCCAGGCAUUCAGAAGGUUGUCUUUCCCAGUGCUUACGAACCAUUUGCCACAAUGGGCAAACUUGAGCGACAGUACACAGCUCUCAUGGAGAUGCAGCUGAUAUUUAUCUGGCUUGGUGACAUGUAGCAUUUCCACGUUACUGUCCUCCCUUCCCACUGCCAGCCACUCUCCGGUUGGGCAGAAGCCCAGAGAGAAGAUCUGUGUGUGAGGUGUCCUUGCUGUUGAAUUGUGAAUACUCGGUAAGAACCUGUGAUACCAAAUCUUCAGCUCUCUACUUGGAAGAACAUGGAAUAACCAUACUUAACAGUGACGAAUUCUUUAAUUAAGUAUUAUAUCUGUAAUAUAUUUAUUUUGUUUAAAGAAGGCUUUUUAACUUUGAAUAAAGCUGUCUGCUCCUGCACUGAUAAUGAAGAUGCAUUGUAUCUGAUACCCCUCCCCCCCCCUUUGUUGGCAAAGGAGGGGAAAGGAAAGUUUAAAAUAAUUGAUGAAAAAUGUCACUAAAUGUAGACUAAGGACUGUAUAGAGAUGUGAAAUGUAUAAUUACAUAUGGAAACAAUAUGUUGCUGUGUUGUUAGAUUUUUUUGUUUUCUACUUAUUUUAAAUGUUUGAAGAUUUGAACAAUUAGAACAUGACAGGCCACAUCAUAUUCAUUUGAGUCUAUUUGGAGAACUUUAACCAAUAUAUCUAUAGCUUUAGAUUCUAUUUGAUAAAAGUAAUUGGACUUUUUUCUUUUUUCUUUUUUGACUGGUCGACAAGUGUCUUUGUAAUAAGUUUUUAAUUCCUUUUUUUAUUGUAUUAUAGACAGAUGAACAAAUUAAAUUUGGCCUAAAGAGAGAACUUAAUCCCUUCUGGAUAUUUUUGCCAUGUUUCUUUGCAAAGGGAGAUGUAUACCUUUGGGCAGUUUUGUCAUUACGAGAAAUUACAGGCUAUUUUUUGGCAUGUUCUUUGGGAACUGCACAGAUUCAGGGGAGGAUUCCUCCUGCUGUGCAAGUCAAGUCUUUUACAAAACAAGGACAGCAGAGGAGAUUUGCAAGGACCUCCCUCUGAAACCAGAAAGAAUGGACUCUCACCUGAGAUGAGGACUUGCUUUCUUUACCUCCGGUUCUUUCCCUGUCUUAGUUGGAUGUCCCCAAAAUGGACACAGGCUGUGCCAUUGUGCCAGAAACAUUGUGUUAUCUUUUAUGUUGUUGUUGCUGUUCAACUAUGAUAUGUGACUCCUUUUUUUUAUUAUUAUUUUUUGUUUGAAUGCUUUAAAAAUCUUUUAAGUCUGUGGAUCUGCUGAUGUACAGUGCCUUUGCUGCUAUGGAUCAAAAUCAAGAGAACUAUGUAGAUAAACUUUAUUGUAUAAGUAGAAAAUUACUUAAUUUCAUACUAGAAACGGAUGGAUGCUGCAAGUUGAAAUGGACUGUCCAUUGACAUUCUUAAUGUGGUAGCAGAAAAAAAUGGUGUCUUAAGUGCUUAGUGUUUGAUGUCAUUAACAGUUUUGUAAAACUCUACAGUGUAGAAAGAUUUUGAUACUAAACUAUGCAUUGUACAUAGUUCUAAUGCUUCGUAUUGACCACCAGUACUUCUAUAAUGGUAGACUGUGCAUUCAGACUUUUAAGCAUUAAACAUAAAUAACUUCUAAAAAAAAAAAAAGAAGAAGAAGAAGGGAAUCUCCUCUUUCUGUCUCUGUUGGCUGGACCACUUCCUGCCUGGAGCACUGUUCUUUAUUUGCCUUACUUAUUACACUUACUGGACAGGAAGCUCUUAGCAGGUAAGGAUUGCAUUUGAGUGUGCACACAUGUGUGCAUGGACCUGUGUGGAGGUGAACAUGGGUGGGGGGAGUUAUUCUGCACCUUCUGUGUAGUGCAUCUGCACAUUCCCAGCAGCAGCCACCCUGAAUGCUGUUUAUGGGAAAAGCUGAUAAGCAUUAGAGAACUG
Long non-coding RNA from Canis lupus familiaris (dog), 2755 nucleotides. RefSeq lists it as uncharacterized. The record is from RefSeq and is a predicted model, not a curated record. The transcript is spliced from 7 exons. Lineage: Eukaryota; Metazoa; Chordata; Mammalia; Carnivora; Canidae.